RNAcentral lists this ribosomal RNA (253 nucleotides) under uncultured Eubacteriales bacterium. RNAcentral's name for it is "uncultured Clostridiales bacterium partial 16S ribosomal RNA". It matches the Rfam family "Bacterial small subunit ribosomal RNA", at positions 524 to 776 of the family's 1533-position model. Lineage: Bacteria; Bacillati; Bacillota; Clostridia; Eubacteriales. The record is from RNAcentral.
UACGUAGGGGGCAAGCGUUAUCCGGAUUUACUGGGUGUAAAGGGAGCGUAGACGGCCAGACAAGUCAGAAGUGAAAACCCGCGGCUCAACUGCGGGAGUGCUUUUGAAACUGUUUGGCUGGAGUGCAGGAGAGGUAAGUGGAAUUCCUAGUGUAGCGGUGAAAUGCGUAGAUAUAUGGAAGAACACCAGUGGCGAAAGCGGCUCUCUGGUCUGUAACUGACGCUGAGGUUCGAAAGCGUGGGUAGCAAACAGG